UGUGUGCCAUGGUACAUUCAUAUUUUCC
RNAcentral lists this small RNA (28 nucleotides) under Bombyx mori (domestic silkworm). Its description in RNAcentral is "ovarian small RNA-35955". The record is from RNAcentral. Lineage: Eukaryota; Metazoa; Arthropoda; Insecta; Lepidoptera; Bombycidae.